UAUCAUUUACCUUAAUCGAACAAAUCCAUUUCAAUUUUAGCAUUUGCACAAAAAGGUCUUUACCAUCUAUUUUCUCCAUUAAAAUAUUAUAGAAUGAAAUUUUUGCCAUCGCCUUAAAAUAAACAAAUAAAAAAAGAAAGCAUAUUGCUGCGCCUCCUCCAGUAGGGCUUUAGUCAAGGCCACGUGGUAGGAAACAUCGCAAGUAAAUAUAGGCUCGCUCUCCGCCUCUUCUCGUCAACAUGGCGAUUUUGGCCGAACUCAUUGAUAAGUCGAACUCCCAUGAGUAGGUCAAACCCAGCUGAGGUAACUGAAUCCUUAAGUUGAGGCAAAUGAGUAGAAUGCAUAGCAUAAAAGUGUCUUUAUGCUAGAUCUUAUACCAAGUAGGUGAUAUGACAACUCAUUGAAUAAGCAGCACUACUCAAUCAACAAGUCUGGUCUUACAUGGCAAGCACAAGGUUGUAAACUGCCACAACAUUAAAUGCAAUACUACAUAGGAUUGACUGAUUGGUACCUAUGACAAGAAGACUCGAUCAUAAGGAUGAAGCCACGUGUGUAUUCAUCCAAUGGCUCUUGUUCAUCACUUCCUACUAUAAAAAACUCACAUUUAGUAAUAUUCAAGAAUAAUGCAACUUUAGACUUAUAUUAUAGCUUCGCUCUCUCAACUUACUUCAUUUUAGCCUCCCAACACCGAACCCCUUUUUAUACAGUGAAUCAUAUCUUUAGCACAUCCCGUACCUAAAUACAUAUCUCAUCUCAGACUGACUUAGGCAUCGAAGUUCCUGAAAUUGCCUUCCCCACCAUCGAAGGUUGGCCAUGUGCUAUAACGGUCUGUUUAAGUGUACAGAAUCAAAGCUUACAUGAAUGCUGAAGGAGUUAGGAUACAUUGGCUAUGUCACUCUUACAGAAAAUUGAGGUCAACGUAUAUAAAGAAAAAAAUUGUAGCUAGAUUUUAAAUUUUUUUAAGUAGUAUAAACGGGUGUAUCACGUAAAUCAUUUUAAAACACAUUUAAAAAAUAUCUUCACAAUUAAUCCCACC
This 1036-nucleotide long non-coding RNA is filed under the name Olea europaea (common olive). RNAcentral's name for it is "long non-coding RNA (OEUR_LNC014849)". Lineage: Eukaryota; Viridiplantae; Streptophyta; Magnoliopsida; Lamiales; Oleaceae. The record is from RNAcentral.